Molecule: ribosomal RNA, 251 nt
Filed under: uncultured prokaryote
Description: partial 16S rRNA
Rfam family: Bacterial small subunit ribosomal RNA
Source: RNAcentral
ACGGGGGGUGCUAGCGUUGUUCGGAAUCAUUGGGCGUAAAGAGCGUGUAGGCGGCUGGAUAAGUCAGAUGUGAAAGCCCUGGGCUUAACAUAGGAAGAGCAUUUGAAACUGUUCAGCUUGAGUAAGGGAGAGGAAAGUGGAAUUCCUGGUGUUGAGGUGACAUUCGUAAUUAUCAGGAGGAACACCGGUGGCGAAGGCGACUUUCUGGCCCUAUACUGACGCUGAGACGCGAGAGCGUGGGUAGCAUACAG